ACGACCUUACUUGAACAGGAUCUGUUCUAUAGGCUCGUACAUCUGUAUCCUUGAUUGCUAAGGAGAUAGGACCCCAAGUCUGGUGGAUGAAACACAGCCUCAUGAUCAGAGCGUGAUUAACAAUUCUGGUGCCGGAAGGCUCUCAGAGCAGUAGAGGAUCGUUCUCCACCACCGUUCAGGUGGCUGGAGAUGGUCAUGCGGCUUUCUGACAGACC
This is a small nucleolar RNA of Rhododendron vialii, 215 nucleotides long. RefSeq annotates it as small nucleolar RNA U3. The record is from RefSeq and is a predicted model, not a curated record. NCBI's taxonomy places the organism in Eukaryota, Viridiplantae, Streptophyta, Magnoliopsida, Ericales, Ericaceae. The transcript has a single exon.